Sus scrofa (pig) is the source of this 6643-nucleotide RNA transcript. It is a transcript of the gene named RNA pseudouridine synthase D4, with no coding region annotated. NCBI's taxonomy places the organism in Eukaryota, Metazoa, Chordata, Mammalia, Artiodactyla, Suidae. The record is from RefSeq and is marked validated.
CACUCCCGCCUCGCUCUGGUCCCUCUUCUGCCCUGGGUUUUAGCUGGCCCUCCCUUCUCGGCAAGAUGGCGGUGCCCAGUUGCUGUGUGCCAGGUUUCUGGGUCCGGAGUUCCGGACAGUGUCUGGGGAGUCUCUUCACUUUCGUCUCAAAGCGACUUUGCUCCGCUGCUGCCGCCUCUAGGCCCAUGGAUGCCCAGCAACUGGCAGAGAGGCUCCGAGCCCAGAAAGAGAAACAAAAGGCGAAGGGGCCGGUGCCCACGAACCCUGUUCAGCGGAGAGUACGAGAACUAGUGCGGUUCACAGAGCAGCUGCAGCGAGUCCACCCCAAUGUGCUUGCUAAGGCGCUGAGCCGAGGAAUUGUCCACCAGGACAAGGACCUGCUGGUCAUCAAUAAGCCUUAUGGUCUCCCUGUGCAUGGUGGCCCUGGGGUCCAGCUCUGCAUCAGUGAUGUAUUACCCAUCCUGGCAAAGAUUCUUCAUGGCCACAAGGCAGAGCCCCUGCAUCUCUGCCAUCGUCUAGACAAGGAAACUACAGGCGUAAUGGUGUUGGCUUGGGAAAAAGAAGUGGCACAUCAAGUCCAAGAGUUGUUUAGAACCCGUCAGGUGGCAAAGAAGUACUGGGCUAUUACUGUGCGCGUCCCGGUGCCCUCAGCAGGAGUCGUGGACAUCCCCAUCAUCGAGAAGGAGGUGCAGGGCCAGCAGCAGCACCACAAGAUGACGCUAUGCCCGAGCUACCGCAUGGACAAUGGGAAGAUGGUGAGAGUACGGACCAGCCGGAACGCACAUCUGGCCGUAACUCAGUACCAGGUGCUAAGCAGUACCCUCUCCUCUGCUCUCUUGGAGCUCCAGCCUGUUACUGGAAUAAAACAUCAGCUUCGAGUUCACCUGUCUUUUGGAUUGGAUUGCCCAAUCCUCGGUGAUCAUAAGUACUCAGACUGGAACAGGCUGGCCCCUCAGAAGCUGUCUGUUGGUGUCCUGAAGAAGCUAGGGCUGCCACAGUCCAAGGCCCGCCACAUCCCCCUGCACCUGCAUGCCCGCCAGCUCAUCCUGCCUGCCCUGCAGUCCAGGAAGGAGGAACUCAACUUGGUCUGCAAGCCUCCUCGAUACUUUGUCCAUUCCCUGCGUCGUCUGGGCUUAAAGAUGCCGAGUCACGAUCAAAAUGGGGAUGAGGAAGCCUCACACCCAGGACCACAGUGAAGAUAGCCAGUUUGCCCUGAAUUCUUCACUCUGUUUGACUCUGCUAACUUCUCACCUGGGACAGACUCCAGAAGAGCCGGGUGUGAUGAGUUAGAGAAACAGCUGCUUCGGGGCUUUUACUGGAGACUAGCAUCUGUUUGCUAACACUUUGACCACACUCCGGAAAAGUCAUCAGGCAGUCUCCCUGCCUCAAAGUGGAAGAGCACCCAGGACCAGGAGAUCUGAAGCACAGAAUCUCUGAUCAGAAACUGUUUUCAUUCAACAAUAAAGCUCUUGGUCUCUUGGCAAGGUUCCUGGGGUUGAAAAGAACCUAGUGGUUAUCUAGCUCCUAGAGAGGUUCAGAAGCAUCUGGCUGCUGUCCUCGGGGAGCUGUGGGGUCUGUUGGUACAGGCUUUCUGCUUGGUUUAGCCUCCGAUUUGGUAGACUGCAAGCAUUCUCUCCAGCCUCAGCCUGGGAACCAUUCUGUGCUCGUGAUUGUGGAGUCCGUGAAAGGGUUGUUUGGUGAGCAAGGAAAGCAGAUGUAAAUGGCUGGCAGGUAGCAAGUGCAGCAGGCAGGUGUAAGGCUGCGGUGGGGAGUGCCCCCAGGUUGAGAGGACAGUUUUUAGCUCCAGCUGAGUGUUGCUUUGUGGGAACAGAUUUUUCUAACUUUUUUCAGAGGUUGGGAAACCCAGAUAUUUAUGUGAAAUCUUAUAUCGUAUUGCUAACUAAAUCAAAAUUUUUAAAAAACACUUGGAGUUCUCUUAUGAUACAGGGGGUUAAGGAUCCAGCAUUGUCAUUGCUGUGGCUUGGGUCUGCUGUGGCACGGGUUGGAUCCCUGGCUUGGGGAGUUUCUGCAUGCCAUGGGCAUGGCCAAACAAAACAAAACACAACACUUGGGCAGCCAAAGCAAAUCAUAUUUUCUGGUUAGAUUUGGUCUGCAGGCUACCUGUUUGCAAAUGGGUGUUUAAAAACUUGUGUGGAAGUUUGGGGAGAAGUGCCAUCUUAAAAGUUCUGGGUCAUUGGUUGGCGGUUCGCUCCAUGCAGCCUCUGUCCUUUCUAGACCAGGGGAUGACCUUGGUUGGUCUGUAAAUGCGUGGUUGUGAGGGUGCUGCUGUUUUUUGAAUCUCCUUUGUUUCAGAAGCAAGCCUGUUCUUGGGCCUCAGGUGGAAGAUCCCUGCUGAGCCCUUGGGCUGCUCUGCUUGGUUGUCCAGCUUGCUCCCAUCUUGUUUCUUGAGACAGUACAUACAGUCUUGCAAACAGACACACCUCAUGUGUCUGAGGUGAGAAAAGCCGGAGUGACAGCACAGCUGCAGAGAAUCCCCAAAGACAGCUGUUCUGUGCUCUCUGUAUUGUUAACACAACUUCCUAACCCCCUUCCCUCUGUCCACGAAACCUGUUACGUGCAUAAUGGAUUUAACUUUAGAAGCACAGGUGAGGUAACUGUGAUACAUAAGGCCUGAACAUGUUGGCUGCUUCUUUGUCUUUUUUCUUUUUUCCUUUUUUUUUUUUUUUUUUUUUUUUUCCUGCUUUUUAGUGCCACACUUGCGGCAUGUGGAGAUUCCCAGGCUAGGGGUCAGAUUGGAGCUACAGCUGCUGGCCACAGCCACAGCAACACCAGAUCUGAACCAAGUCUGUGACCUACACUACAGCUCGUGGCAACGCCGGAUCCCUAACCCACUGAGCGAGGUCAGGGAUUGAACCUGCGUCCUCAUGGAUGCUAGUCAGAUUCAUUUCCGCUGAGCCACGAUGGGAGUUGCUGCUCCUUUUCUUACAAACCGCGCUUCUCUGCCUGUGUGCUGAUGCCUGUAAACAUCGCCCUUUGGGAUUCCCACUCAGCCCCUUGUCAUGCCCACACUGCUCAGUUUUCUCUCCAGACCUGGUCUUCAUCUGCUGUUCCUGCCUUAGUUUAAUGGUGCCACCCUUGUCCUGAGUGUCCCUCUCAACUCUCCUCUACACCUGUCCCCAAAUCCAGUUAGUCUCCUGGUCUCCCCUCUUUCCCUCUCAAAGCCCUUCUCUGAAAAUGCACUUAGCUCUUUAGUCCUCUGCCUCUUUCUGGGCACCAGCUUCAGCCUCCCCACUCUUCAGCCGUGGUGGGUUAGAAUGGGAAGGUGGAGGGGCAGGGCGGGUUAGAAGUGGGGGUCAGAGGCAACCUGCUAGUUCCCCCAGAACCAGACCCCAUGGGCGUGUGGAGACGAUUCUAGGUUCCUGGGCCCAGGGCAGUAGCGGGCUGUUACAACCACGACAGAGACACUGUAGGACACUCCCUCGUGUUUUCUCCGUCAGCUGCCUUUGGCUCUCUAGACGACUUUUAGCCAGAGUGCCCGGCGGGGUAUAUAGACACGGCCUUCUGUCUGUGCUCGGGCAGAGCACAUGCGGUGGGUGCAGACACUUCCGCCCCAGUGGGAAGUGCUUGCCACGCUGACCACCUGGAAUUAGGCUGGCCACACUUUCCAAGUUAAGGGCACAGUCCUGCACAAGGCUCCUCUUCAGAUACCAGCCGGGAGCUCGCGGGUGCCCAGGCCACCCACACCACUCACCAAUGAAGAGGCCGAAUGAACUUUCCACCGCUGCUUAGGGUCUCUGGCUGAGUCUAAAGGUUGAACUGACAGAGUAACAGGAGAAAAGCUGACACGUUUAUUUGAUGUAAGUUUUACGUGAUAUAAGAGUUUCUAUAAGGACAUGAAGACCGCAAGGAGCAGACCUGCAUUUUUAUGCUAGGUUUGAUGAAAAGUGGACCUUCGUGGCAAGGGGCAGGGGGUGGAUGGUGGGGGUAGGACAGGCUGAGGGUUAGGAGGUGAUUGCAGUAAACUGGGGGAAACAGCGAGGCCUGUUUGUUAGGUUUCUUCUUGGUGACUUUUAGUCUUUGGGGAUAAGGAUGCACCUUUCCUCCAGGUAUUGGCAGGGGUUGGGGAGGCAUCUCACGUGAGGGUUUAUGACCAGUUUAGGGAGGAAGGGCAAGGGGGGAGGAGGUCAAAGUGGGUUCCCUGCUUCUGCUGUUUUCUCAAACUGCUUAAACUUAAAAUAUUCAAGGUGGGAGCACUCUUUGUCAUAUUCUUGUAGAUAAAUCUGACUAGUAUCCAUGAGGAUGCACGUUCGAUCCCUGGCUUUGCUCAGUGGGUCGAAGAUCCGGCUUUGCCGUGAACUGUGGUGUAGGUCGCAGACGCUGGCUAGAUCUGGCGUUGCUGUGGCUGUGGUGUAGGCCGGCAGCUAGAGCUCUGAUUCGACCCUUAGCCUGGGAACCUCCAUAUGCCACGGGUCUCGACCCUUAGCCUGGGAACCUCUAUGUGCCACGGGUGUGGCCCUAAAAAGACAACAACAACAACAAAAAAAAAUUAAAAUAUUCAAGGUGCUAGAUUUGAGGGUGGCAUGUCCUGAACCCUGUCCCCAAAUAGCUACGAAUUCAGGGAUUCCUACUUCCGUUCAGGCUCCAUAGUCUUCUAGAGUGAUCCUCAGAACCUGGGAAAAUGCUCUAAUAACUAUUUUAUUACAGUAUUAAAGAGGUGUCAGUCAAGACCAGCCAAAAGAAGAGACUUAUGGGGAGAGACCUGGGAGUGUCCCAAACGUGAAGCUACCAUGUCCUCUCCUUGGGGAGUCAAGACCCACCACCAUCCUAGCACAUGGAACUCUGCAUUGCUAACCAGGAACGUCCCAUAAGCUUCUGCAUCUGGUGUUUACUGCGGUUUCAUCAGGGCUACACCCCAGGCUAGGGGUGGAGACAGAGCUACAGCUGUUGGCCUACACCACAGCCACAGCAACAGCAACACAAGAGCUGAGCUGCAUCUGUGACCUACACUGCAGCUUGCAGCAGCGCAGCAUCCUUAACCCACUGAGCCAGACCAGGGAUCAAAACCACAUCCUCGUGGCUACUAGUCAGGUUUUUAACCCGCUGAACCACAAUAGAAACUCAAGAGAAUGGGGUUUUUAACCUGGAAUGAAUACACAGUAGGGUGAAGCUCUUCUUUCCUGGGGAUUUUCACAUGCUGUGUAUGGACACUGACCAUAAACAUGUCCCAAGUACUCAGGUAUCCGUGCCUUCCAGCCCACAUCAGUGUGUCCACACACAACAGGACCCCCACACUGUUCAUAACCUCUCUUUAACACCCUCCCCCAACUCAUUCCCACUCUUGACACCUUCAGGGCUGUUGUCUGGGGAGGAGGCCUACAUCAUAGUAGGCUAUUAUGAAUCAUGCUGCUAUAAACAUUCAUGUAUAAGUGUUUGUGUGGAUUUUCAUUUCUCUUGAGCACAUAACUAAGAGUGAAAUUGCUGGGUCAAAUGUUAACUCUCCUCAACACUUUGUAGAACUACCAGACUGUUUUCUGAAGUGGCUGCACCAUUUUAUACGCCAGCAACUAUGUAUGACGUUCUGGUUUCUCACCAACACUUGUUAUUUAUUUUUGUCUUUUUGUCUUUUUUAGGGCCAUACUCACAGCAUAUGGAAGUUCCUAGACUAGGGGUCAAAUCGGAGCUUCAGCUGCCGGCCUACACCAUAGCCACGGCAACGCAGGAUCUGAGCCACAUCUGCAACCUGCCACAUCCAGAAUGCAUUUAUUUAUUUCUUUAUUUAAUUUAUGAAACACUUUUUAUUACGUAUCUUUCUGACUCUGGGCAUCCUAUUGGAUCUGAAGUGGUUUCACAUUGUGGUUUUGAUUUGCAUGUCAUUGCUGACCCAUGAUAUUGAACAUAUUUUCAGUGCUUAUUAACCAUUUGUUUGAAGAAAUGUCUUUAAAUCCUUUUCCCAUUUUUAAGUUGGGUUGUCUUUUUAUUAUUAAAGUGUAAGAGUUCUUUAUACAUUGUGGAUGAUAGUUUCUUAACCAUAUGUAUUGUUUACAGAUAUUUUCUGUCCUUCUGUGGGUUGUCUGUACACUUUUUAAAUUAUAACAUUUGCAACACAAAAUUUUUUAAUUUUAUUGUUCAGUUUAUGUUUACUUUUUUGGGUUGUGCUUUUGAUGUCAUAUAUAAGAAAACUGCUUAGUCCAAAGUCAUGGAUGUUUCUUAUUUUUCCUAAUAGUUUUCUAGUUUUAACUUAUAUUUUGGGCCAGUGAUCUAUUUAAUUUAAUUUAAUUUUAUUUUAUUUUGUCUUUUUGCCAUUUCUUGGACCGCUCCAUCGGCAUAUGGAGGUUCCCAGCCUAGGGGUCGAAUCGGAGGUGUAGCUGCUGGCCUACACCACAGCCACAGCAACCGGAAUCUGAGCCGCAUCUGUGACCUACACCACAGCUCACGGCAACGCCGGAUCCUUAACCCACUGAGCAAGGCCAGGGAUCGAACCCGCAACCUCAUGGUUCCUAGUUGGAUUUGUUAACCACUGAGGCACGACGGGAACUCCCAGUGAUCCAUUUUAAAUUAAUUCUGAGUAUGUUGUAUUAACAUGCCCAACUUUGCAUGUGGAUAACCAGUGUUUCCAGGACCAUUUGUUGAAAAUAUUAUUUUUUCUCCAAUGGAACUAAUAAACUUCCAUUUUUAAAGGUCA